This 546-nucleotide ribosomal RNA is filed under the name Psychrobacter pulmonis. Its description in RNAcentral is "bacterial SSU rRNA". It matches the Rfam family "Bacterial small subunit ribosomal RNA", at positions 342 to 880 of the family's 1533-position model. The record is from RNAcentral. Lineage: Bacteria; Pseudomonadati; Pseudomonadota; Gammaproteobacteria; Moraxellales; Moraxellaceae.
CGGGAGGCAGCAGUAGGGAAUAUUGGACAAUGGGGGCAACCCUGAUCCAGCCAUGCCGCGUGUGUGAAGAAGGCCUUUUGGUUGUAAAGCACUUUAAGCAGUGAAGAAGACUCCAUGGUUAAUACCCAUGGACGAUGACAUUAGCUGCAGAAUAAGCACCGGCUAACUCUGUGCCAGCAGCCGCGGUAAUACAGAGGGUGCAAGCGUUAAUCGGAAUUACUGGGCGUAAAGCGAGCGUAGGUGGCUUGAUAAGUCAGAUGUGAAAGCCCCGGGCUUAACCUGGGAACGGCAUCUGAUACUGUUAGGCUAGAGUAGGUGAGAGGAAGGUAGAAUUCCAGGUGUAGCGGUGAAAUGCGUAGAGAUCUGGAGGAAUACCGAUGGCGAAGGCAGCCUUCUGGCAUCAUACUGACACUGAGGUUCGAAAGCGUGGGUAGCAAACAGGAUUAGAUACCCUGGUAGUCCACGCCGUAAACGAUGUCUACUAGUCGUUGGGUCCCUUGAGGACUUAGUGACGCAGCUAACGCAUUAAGCACUCCGCCUGGGGAG